This 253-nucleotide ribosomal RNA is filed under the name uncultured bacterium. RNAcentral's name for it is "partial 16S ribosomal RNA". It matches the Rfam family "Bacterial small subunit ribosomal RNA", at positions 524 to 776 of the family's 1533-position model. The record is from RNAcentral.
UACGUAGGGGGCAAGCGUUGUCCGGAUUUACUGGGCGUAAAGAGCGCGUAGGCGGACGUUUAAGUGUGGCCUGAAAGCCCCCGGCUCAACCGGGGAUCCGGGUUGCAAACUGGACGUCUUGAGGGGGAUAGGGGAAGGUGGAAUUCCUGGUGUAGCGGUGAAAUGCGUAGAGAUCCGGAGGAACACCAGUGGCGAAGGCGACACGCUGGGCCGUACCUGACACUGAUGCGCGACAGCAUGGGGAGCAAACAGG